ACAGACAGUUUUGGGUUUCGUAUAGAAGUUUAAAACCACAUACAUUUAUGUGCAAUUACUAAUGAGUAAAUCACCAUUCCAUUACAGGAACAUGCCCUUGGUGGUGAUGGCACAUCAGGAUCCAGGAUGAUGGACCAAAGCUUGUCAGCUCUAAUCACAGAGUAUGGAAAACAUGUGCAAGAAAUGAGAGAACAGCUGCAGCUUUAUCAGGCACAAAUGGGUGAGAUGAAGCUAAAAUUGGAAGAAGUCACCAAGGAAAAUGAAAGGCUGCAUGCAGAGUUGAAAGAGUCUCUUGAGAAGCAACUGGAGGCACUUCUUGCAGAUGAAGGCACAGUG
Molecule: long non-coding RNA, 336 nt
Filed under: Chloebia gouldiae (Gouldian finch)
Lineage: Eukaryota; Metazoa; Chordata; Aves; Passeriformes; Passeridae
Description: Erythrura gouldiae (Gouldian finch) lncRNA (ENSEGOG00005009620.1)
Source: RNAcentral